This 440-nucleotide ribosomal RNA is filed under the name uncultured bacterium. RNAcentral's name for it is "partial 16S ribosomal RNA". It matches the Rfam family "Bacterial small subunit ribosomal RNA", at positions 338 to 795 of the family's 1533-position model. The record is from RNAcentral.
CCUACGGGAGGCUGCAGUGGGGAAUAUUGGACAAUGGGGGAAACCCUGAUGCAGCGACGCCGCGUGAGUGAAGAAGGAAUUAGUUAUGUAAAGCUCUAUCAGCAGGGAAGAAAAUGACGGUACGUGAGUAGGAAGGCCCGGCUAACGACGUGCCAGCAGCCGCGGUAAUACGUAGGGGGCAAGCGUUAUCCGGAUUUACUGGGUGUAAAGGGAGCGUAGACGGCAGUGCAAGAGUGGAGUGAAAGGCGGGGGCUCAACCCCCGGACUGCUGUGGAAACUGGACGGCUGGAGGGCAGGAGAGGUAAGUGGAAUUCCUAGUGUAGCGGUGAAAUGCGUAGAUAUUAGGAGGAACACCAGUGGCGAAGGCGGCUUACUGGACUGUAACUGACGUUGAGGCUCGAAAGCGUGGGGAGCAAACAGGAUUAGAUACCCGAGUAGUC